CAGCCGCCGCGGUAAUACGGAGGUGGCAAGCGUUAUCCGGAAUUAUUGGGCGUAAAGCGUCUGUAGGCGAUCUGGCAAGUUUUCUGUGAAAUUCCAAUGCUCAACAUUGGAGCUGCAGAAAAUACUGCCAGAAUUGAGGAAGAUAGAGGCAAGUGGAAUUCCCGGUGUAGUAGUGAAAUGCGUUAAUAUCGGGAGGAACACCAAUAGCGAAGGCAGCUUGCUGGAUCUUUCCUGACGCUCAGAGACGAAAGCGUGGGUAGCGAAUGGGAUUAGAUACCCCAGUAGUCCACGCCGUAAACGAUGGAUAUUAGGCAUAGGGAGGGUCGACCCUUUCUGUGCCGAAGCUAACGCGAUAAAUAUCCCGCCUGGGGAGUACGGUCGCAAGACUAAAACUCAAAGGAAUUGACGGGGACCCGCACAAGCGGUGGAGCAUGUGGUUUAAUUCGACAAUAAGCGAAGAACCUUACCAGGGCUUGACAUCUAGGAAUCCUUCCGAAAGGAAGGAGUGCCUUCGGGAAUCUAGAAUCAGGUGCUGCAUGGCUGUCGUCAGUUCGUGGCGUGAGCUGUACGGUUAAGUCCGGAAACGAGCGCAACCCUUACUCUGUGUUAUAUUUCUCACAGAGGACCGCCGGCGUAUAGUCGGAGGAAGGUGGGGAUGACGUCAAGUCAGCAUGGCCCUUUGAUGCCCUGGGCUACACACGUGCUACAAUGGCUAGUACAAAGAGACGCUAAGUCGUAAGAUGGAGCAAAUCUCAUCAAAGCUAGUCUCAGUUCGGAUUGAGGUCUGGAAUUCGACCUUAUGAAGAUGGAAUCGCUAGUAACUGUGGGUCAGCCACACCACAGUGAAUACGUUCUCGGGUCUUGUACACACCGCAAGUCACGACAUAGCGAGUAAGACCACCCGAAGUCUACGGAGCAACCUUUAGGAGGGCGUGGUCUAAGGUGGUCGUACUAACUGGGUCGAAGUCGUAACAAGGUAGCCGUA
Molecule: ribosomal RNA, 985 nt
Filed under: uncultured bacterium CLEAR-31
Lineage: Bacteria; Candidatus Microgenomatota
Description: bacterial SSU rRNA
Rfam family: Bacterial small subunit ribosomal RNA
Source: RNAcentral